AUUGAACGCUGGCGGCAGGCCUAACACAUGCAAGUCGAGCGGAUGAAGGGAGCUUUCUCCUGGAUUCAGCGGCGGACGGGUGAGUAAUGCCUAGGAAUCUGCCUGGUAGUGGGGGAUAACGUCCGGAAACGGGCGCUAAUACCGCCUACGUCCUGUGGGAGAAAGUGUGGGUCCUUAGUACCUGACGGUUUUGGUUGAGCUUAGGUCGGAUUAGCUGGUGGGUGAGGUAAAGGCUUACCAAGGCGACGAUCCGUACCUGGUCUGAGAGGAUGAUCAGUCACACUGGAACUGAGACACGGUCCAGACUCCUACGGGAGGCAGCAGUGGGGAAUAUUGGACAAUGGGCGAAAGCCUGAUCCAGCCAUGCCGCGUGUGUGAAGAAGGUCUUCGGAUUGUAAAGCACUUUAAGUUGGGAGGAAGGGCAGUAAGUUAAUACCUUGCUGUUUUGACGUUACCAACAGAAUAAGCACCGGCUAACUUCGUG
RNAcentral lists this ribosomal RNA (484 nucleotides) under uncultured bacterium. Its description in RNAcentral is "partial 16S ribosomal RNA". It matches the Rfam family "Bacterial small subunit ribosomal RNA", at positions 30 to 507 of the family's 1533-position model. The record is from RNAcentral.